AUCCAUAUGACGAGUCCCAAAUAAGAUGAAAUACGCGUCCAACUGGAU
Schistosoma mansoni is the source of this 48-nucleotide non-coding RNA. NCBI's taxonomy places the organism in Eukaryota, Metazoa, Platyhelminthes, Trematoda, Strigeidida, Schistosomatidae. The record is from Rfam.